RNAcentral lists this ribosomal RNA (500 nucleotides) under uncultured Glomus. RNAcentral's name for it is "SSU rRNA". It matches the Rfam family "Eukaryotic small subunit ribosomal RNA", at positions 591 to 1092 of the family's 1831-position model. RNAcentral also lists the same sequence under 1 other name. Lineage: Eukaryota; Fungi; Glomeromycota; Glomeromycetes; Glomerales; Glomeraceae. The record is from RNAcentral.
CCAAUAGCGUAUAUUAAAGUUGUUGCAGUUAAAAAGCUCGUAGUUGAAUUUCGGGAUCAGUACGCUGGUCAUGCCUUUGGUAUGCACUGGUGUCACUGGUUUCUCCCUUCUGAAGAACCGUGAUGUCAUUAAUUUGGUGUCGCGGGGAAUCAGGACUGUUACUUUGAAAAAAUUAGAGUGUUUAAAGCAGGCUCACGCUUGAAUACAUUAGCAUGGAAUAAUGAAAUAGGACGUUUGACCCUAUUUUGUUGGUUUCUAGGAUCGACGUAAUGAUUAAUAGGGAUAGUUGGGGGCAUUAGUAUUCAAUUGUCAGAGGUGAAAUUCUUGGAUUUAUUGAAGACUAACUACUGCGAAAGCAUUUGCCAAGGAUGUUUUCAUUAAUCAAGAACGAAAGUUAGGGGAUCGAAGACGAUCAGAUACCGUCGUAGUCUUAACCAUAAACUAUGCCGACUAGGGAUCGGAUGAUGUUAAUUUUAUAAUGACUCAUUCGGCGCCUUACG